GCCUGUCAUUUUCGACAUCAAAGACUGAAACCAUCUUAUCUGAAGCGGCAGCCAACAAACGCCCAGUCAUUGGUUGAAACCUCACUUGUGCGCUUCCUCCUUGCUUGGACACCCGAGUACAAGAAAAUGGACUAAUACUCCAGUAGCGAAUUUCAUUGUUGCUAUCGCAGAAACAGAAUAGGUCGUUCUUUUUAGGAUGAAAAUCCAACGACAUAACAUGAUAACUAUGCCCCGUGUAAGCAUGCAAACAAUAGCUAGGAUUGCUUGCGUCCCAUAAUCUCACAGACUUGUCAAAUGAAGCAGUUGCAAGUUGAGAAGAAUUAGGCCGGAAGCGGAUAUCUGUAAUCAAGUACUGAUGUUCCUCAGGCGUGGUCUCUGUUUGUAGAGUAUCCAUGUUCCAAAGAACAGCCUUCUUGUCAUGUCCAGCACUAGCAAGUAACUUCCCAUCUGAUGAGAAAUGACAGCAAGUCACUUUAUUUCUCGUGCGUAUACAACCAACUUCACCAAAGGAGAAACCUUUUGAGGUUUCAGGCUUGUGCUCAGUAAGAGUUUGCUUCAAUGAUCCAUAGAUGUUUCCAUCUCCUCCGUCUUGUGACAGAAAUGAUUCCACAUUAUCAAUGUCUCCAAAAGGCUCUAAGUCAUCCAGCUGAUUUGUAGAG
RNAcentral lists this unclassified non-coding RNA (659 nucleotides) under Hevea brasiliensis (rubber tree). The record is from RNAcentral. Lineage: Eukaryota; Viridiplantae; Streptophyta; Magnoliopsida; Malpighiales; Euphorbiaceae.